Phalacrocorax carbo (great cormorant) is the source of this 1580-nucleotide non-coding RNA. NCBI's taxonomy places the organism in Eukaryota, Metazoa, Chordata, Aves, Suliformes, Phalacrocoracidae. The record is from RefSeq and is a predicted model, not a curated record.
GUACAGGCACACCUCAACCCGGGAGCCCGUGCCCGGGAGAUGGCAUGGUGCAUCCGCCGGGGCUCCUGGCCCUGCGACAGCCCUCACGCGUCCCAUGAGGGACAAGGAAAGUGCCUUUGGCGUGGCAGAGGCCGGCCCGGAGGCGUCCCGCUGUGUGCUGGCUCUGCGGCCAGGGCGGCCGCCCCCGGAGCCGCGGGCGCGUUAUCGGUCGGACGCUCCUGCUGCUGCAGUCGCUGCUUUUGUUUUAUAAUUGGGUGGAGAGUGGAAACCUGGCGUCCUCUUUCUGUACAAACAGGAGGGAUGUAUUAUGCAGGGGCCCAGCUCUCUGCAUCGGGCUAAUGAAGGUCCCACCCCUCCCUCAUCUCUUCUCUUCGUUGCUGAGCUCUCCAUGGAAAUGGGCUGAGCAUCGUCCCUGCGCGCCCAGGCGCUGGCUUGGCUUUAUCAGUCUUAAUCAGCGGAAGAUACCUCUGGAGGGGCUCUUGACUUCCUGCCUGCGUCGUUACAGCUUGGGAAAAUAAACCCCCCACAUUCUAACGCCUUGAGGCUCCAACAACAUUUAAGACGCGGAGUGAAGCGCUGCUUCCCGGCGGAGCGAACCUGGCGGCAGCUCAGCCCCGCAGACACGACCGAGGGCAGCUGAAGGUUUUUCCACUCUCGGGAAGGUUUUUCCAGGCUCAGCCCCGCCGUACCUCGGGCCGUGGCCCUGCCGCCGCCGCGAGCGCUCAGGACUCGUGCCCGGAUGCUGCUCUGGAGUCGGAGCAGAGUCAGGCCCCGGAGGAAGCCCUGCUGAAGGCACAGCUGCUGCCUGGCACAGCUGAUGCACGGGAAAACCCAGCUACCCCAGAGUAAUCCCAAACUGGUGCCUGAGCCAGCCCUCUGAGCGUCCGAGGAGAUGAAGUCAGGACUCCUGCCUGCCACAGGAGCAGGGGAAGCCGAGGCCGGCGGAGGGAGGUAAGAGGAGGUCGAGCAGGCCGGUGCUGGAAGGAGAAGGUGCAGUAGGACAGCGACCUCGCGCCUGGGUGCUGCACUCUGCGCCCACGGGGAGCUGCCAGCGGUGGGCUCGGGGACCCUCUCCCCUCCGCUCAGCCACGCUCGGCUCCCUGCACCUCUCACCGCCCAGAGCUGCUGCGAUGCCGGCGGCAGCGCCGGAGGCUGCAGGAGGGACGGGGCCAGGCCCAGCUGAGCCGGGGAGCACGGCAGGCUUGACCGGCAGGACCGGCGUUCGGCAGAGGCCACUGAAGCUUUCACUGGUCAACCGUCAGAGCCUGUCCUCCAGACGCCUUCCUCCGACCCCCCGCAACACCUCCCUUCCCUCGGGAGCGGCAGCGGGGGGUGCUGCGGUCAGCGCCCCCAGGCCAGGCAGCACGCAGCGCUGUGCCGGGGUACGCGGUCCCGCUGGGUGCCGUGUUUGUGCCGCGCCGCCCGAGCCGCGUAACCAAACACUGUAGGUGCCCCCGAGCAGCGUCGGGUGUGUUCCUGCCAACCCCGAGUGGAAACGGGCUGGAGCGAUGGCGCGAGAACGUUGCAUCCAUUGGCAUGUUUCUACUUUUAACACGUUAAAGAUCAUGUCUGUAACCUGC